GGAGUAUGAUUCACAUGAUGGUGCAUGUGGGAUUUUCUUCAAUAUCGAAUUCACUGCGGCAACCAUAGCUUCUGUCACAGCGACACCCAGAAGCCCAGCCAUCAUAGGAUGGCACUGGCCUUACAUAUUCAUUAUAAGAUGGUGGUUGGUGCUGAAUCCCAUAUCCAUGGUGGUAGGGGCCACCAUCACGUCCCCCAUAGCAUGACUUACAGUACACUCCAAUUGGAUAGAUGAAUUCUGGAUACUCUGGUACUGGAGUUCGCACCGGUGUCGGUGGCGGUGGCGGUGGCGGUGGCGGUGGCUUCUCGGGUGGUAUAACCUCGAU
Molecule: long non-coding RNA, 325 nt
Filed under: Vitis vinifera (wine grape)
Lineage: Eukaryota; Viridiplantae; Streptophyta; Magnoliopsida; Vitales; Vitaceae
Description: long non-coding RNA (VVIN_LNC008211)
Source: RNAcentral